Molecule: ribosomal RNA, 265 nt
Filed under: uncultured gamma proteobacterium DCM-ATT-12
Lineage: Bacteria; Pseudomonadati; Pseudomonadota; Gammaproteobacteria
Description: partial 16S ribosomal RNA
Rfam family: Bacterial small subunit ribosomal RNA
Source: RNAcentral
AGAGUUUGAUCAUGGCUCAGAUUGAACGCUGGCGGCAGGCCUAACACAUGCAAGUCGAACGGUAACAGGAUUAGCUUGCUAAUCGCUGACGAGUGGCGGACGGGUGAGUAAUGCUUGGGAACUUGCCUUUGCGGGGGGGAUAACAGUUGGAAACGACUGCUAAUACCGCAUAACGUCUACGGACCAAACGGGGCUUAUGCUCCAGCGCAAAGAGAGGCCCCAGUGAGAUUGGCUAGUUGGUAAGGUAAAGGCUUACCAAGGCAAC